RNAcentral lists this ribosomal RNA (366 nucleotides) under Xanthias canaliculatus. RNAcentral describes it as "partial 12S ribosomal RNA". The record is from RNAcentral. Lineage: Eukaryota; Metazoa; Arthropoda; Malacostraca; Decapoda; Xanthidae.
UAUUAUACUAAUUAGUAAAAGGAAACCUAAAUUAUUAAUAGAUAUAUUCUUUAAACUUGAAGAAUUUGGCGGUGAUUUAAUCUUAUUAGAGGAACCUGUUUUUGAAUCGAUACACCACGUAAAAUCUUACUCAUUUUAUUUAGUUUGUAUACCGUCAUUAUCAGAUGAUUUUAAAAGAAAUUAAUCAUUAAGGGUUAUUAAAUUAUAAUAAGCUAAAUUAGAUCAAGGUGUAGCUUAUAAAUGAGUUAGAAUGGGUUACAAUAAAUAUUUAUUUAUACGGAUUAGAUGAGGAGAAAGUCUUCUAGGAAGGAGGAUUUAAUUGUAAUAAGGGUUUAAUAAGCUCGAAAGAUAUAAGCUCUAGAUCAU